UCGCUCCUACCGAUUGAGUGAUCCGGUGAAUAAUUCGGACUGCAGCAAAGUUUAGUUCCUAAGCCUUGCAGCGGGAAGUUUAGUGAACCUUAUCACUUAGAGGAAGGAG
RNAcentral lists this ribosomal RNA (109 nucleotides) under uncultured eukaryote. RNAcentral's name for it is "partial small subunit ribosomal RNA". It matches the Rfam family "Eukaryotic small subunit ribosomal RNA", at positions 1676 to 1785 of the family's 1831-position model. The record is from RNAcentral.